CAUUCCAUACCCCGACUCGUACUCGCUAUAUUCUCGCCUCCUGAGAAGAAAAAUGGAACAAAAAGGAAAAGGGUGAGCUCGACUAGCCCAGUAAAGAAUAUUAUGACUAAGAUAAUAUACAACAAAAUUAUCGUUAGUCUUCAACAGGGAAAAAUAUAAUAGAAUACAAUAGACAACAAGUUUUAAAUCAAUAUUCGCAGCGGAAAUAAUAAUUCAUUAGAAGAGUUAAGUAGAGAAUGCAAACUACUAUCUUCUAUGUAUGAAUUUUAAAGUUCAUCGUCUAUUUUUAUCCCUGUAACAUCAAUCAAUAUAUAUCUGGGAUCAAAUAUUCAUCCUUGCACUACAGGCCAAGGACAUUCACCAGUUGGUCAUGUUCAUCUAAACACCUGUUCAUCUUUGCACUACGGGCCAAAGAUAUUCAUCAGAAAUCAUUCAUCUUUGCACUACUGGCCAAAGAUAUUCAUCAUAAAUCAUUCAUCUUUGCACUACAGGCCAAAGAUAUUCAAUAAUAUCAUCAUUUAAGACUGAGGAUGAUGAAAAAUUUUUUUUUUAAAGAAACGAAUCCAGUGAAACAAAAUGACAAGGAUUAAGGAUUAAGGAUUCGUACUUUGUUUUAUCCACGUCCAAAAAUACCUCAAAAAUAAUCAUAGUGGUGUAAAAUUCAAGAAUGAUCAAAACAUGGAUACAAUCAAAGCUAGUAUCCACAAUAGAUAUUUUGGACGAAAAGAAAAAUUUUCAUUUUUCGAUGAAUAGUGCCGUAUUCGUGAAUAGUACCGUAUACGUGAAUAGUGCCGUAUACGUGAAUAGUAACUCCGACACCAAAAGUUCCAAAUUUGAUAAAAACUUCAGAUCAAUAUUUCAGCAUAAUGAUAUUGAAGAAAUAAUAUCAUUACGAAAAAAAAUAAUAUCCCUUACCUCGGAAAGACAGUACUUCUAACUGGAAUACUGGAUAUAGGCUAUAACUUGAACUUUCACCGUAUAGCAAUACUCAAAGUAUACUCAAAAUACUCACAAGAAUACGCUCGAUAAUAUAGAGAGAGAAAACUUCAGUUUCUGGUGUGAUUUUCAAUUCUAACCUAAGCACCUAUUUAUAGGAAAUUGCUUAGAACACCAAAGCAGAAAAUUUAAUAUAAUAUUAAUAUAUAUAAAAAUAUUAUACGUAUUCCUUGAAAUCUUAAUCUCAGCAAUUCACACAUGCCAACCUUCUAGAAAAAAAUAAAAAAAACGUUUUUCUAAUUUAAAAUAUUUUAAACUUCCAAAAAUCAAUUAUUUCGGAGCUUCGGAACUUCAAUAAUUCAUAAUAAAUAGCCCUUUUAUCAGAAAAUUCGAAUCUCGCGAGUUUUUAUAGGAAAUUCAAUUCUCUACAACUUUGCAGAAGAAAGUUUUUCCAAAUUCCAAACAGAAAUUGACCGAAAUCCACAAACGGGCGAUUUUAGAGGCUAUAAUCAAAUUUCAGUCAAUAAAUGGGGUCCACCGACAUGUUUAACAUGUUUUAAACAUUUAUUGCAACAAAAAUACUCUUCCUCCUCGUAUACUCAUAUAUCCCACAUUCGUUGUAAAAAUAUCACCAUUAUUAUAUUAUUAAAAUAUAAUAAUAUAUAUAUUUAAAUGAAUUAUUUUAUCAGAAAAAGAUAAAAUUUCAAUUUUCAACAAUUGUCACAUUAAAAAUUUUCUCCAUCUAUAUCCACAUAAAAUCAAUAUUUUCCUCAUCAUAUGAAUCAAUAAUUAAUUAUUCACAAAUAAUAUUACAGAAUCACAAUAUUGACAACCAGGCAGUUCCCAGGAAAGAGGGGGCUUUCCAAUAAGAAUUUCUCCUUACUGGCGCGCAAUUAGGUGACCAAACCUCUCCUUAGACAGAACUUUCUAGACAUUGCCAAUAAUGUUAUCUAAUAAUAUUAUUCAGAUAAUAUGAAUUAUUGCUUCGAUAAUGAAAAAUACUGUGUAAUGACAAUUAUUGAAACAACAGCAAUAUAAAAUAUCAACGCAACAAUUAUUGAACCAAUAAAAUACUGAACAGUAAUUACUGUAACCAUUAUUGAGUAGUGCCUUCUUACGUAAGAGUCAAUAAUUGGUGCAAUACCGUGUGCUACUGUGCAACAACGCGUAUUACUGUGUUUUAACCACCGGGUAUUUCAAUAGUGUAAACGGUAACAACUACGCCGUUAUUUUUGAACAACUUAUAUUUGUCGUUUUCUUCCUCCAAUCGCUUUCCGUUAUGGGGCCCACACAUAACUGCGCCGUCGUACGAAUAUUCCCCGACAGUACGAAUAUUCCACAACCAAACGAAUAUUCCCCGACAACAAUGAAUAUUUUAUAACCACUUGCUUAUUUUGAAAUAUUUGCGUAUUUUACCCAUAACUAUCCACAUUAAUCACAUCAACCCUUACUAUUUCAAAAUAAUAAUUAGAAAAAAUUAAAUUUCAUUUAUUAAUUAUUUAGAGUCUUACAAUAUACCUGCCUUUUAGAGCAUAUAGAAGACCAUAGAAAAGAUUAAAAUGCAAAUUAGCAACUGAAUAUAUGUUACUAAAGUAUGAUAUUGAAGAGGAAGACGUGGGUCCAAAAUAUGAAGAUCAAACCAUUUGAUUUUGGGUUUCAUUGAUUCUGAUUAAACUGAUUGUUUGAAAUCUCACUUCAUUUAUUUAUAUUCUUUAUUUAUCUAUGACCCCUUGAAUUAAUUGGUACUCUUUCACAAAAAAAAGUCUUAUGUCAGUUUUUUGUUCCAUUUUUUUUUUAUAGAAAAAGAGUUAUAUUUUAGUUUUUUUUGUUUUAUUUUUAUAUACUCAUAAAUUCAUUACAUUUUUGGAAUUUUAUACUAUUAAGACGGGAUACUUAUGCCAUAAGAAUCUAGUAAUGAACAGUGAGAAGUAAGACUUUUGUCUAGUUUUCCUUUACCUUGUGCAUUCAUCACUUGGAAUUAGGAUUCAAGUUCACCCAAAUCACACAGUUAAGAUGCAUGCAGAAAUUUCACCCACAAGUUCGUAUUCCUAAGUUUAACAUAAAAAGCAAAACAACCAGCAUCCUCAAGUUUAAGAAAAAGACGAGGAAAAAAAAUAUUCCUAAGUUUGUAAGUAACAUGAGACUUUUUAAAAAGUAACAACCAUCCUCAAGUUAGUAACACUACAUGCAGAAAUUUCUUAGGUACAGGUAACUGGUCCUUCAGUUAAGAGAGGAUUAACUAAAUAGGACUGUUGAUUUCUAACAACCAUAAUUUAUCAACAUUUGUGAUCCGGUAUCUCGGUGAACAGGACAAUGAAAAUUAAAAUUCAAUUACAAUAAGUAAUAAAUUCAUUCGUUUAUUACUUCUGGAUCAAGUAUCCAAAUAUUUUUAAAACACUAUAAACAGUUUUAUACGUUAGUAGUAUUUAUCUAAAACAUCACCCGAAAAAAGAAAAAAAAAGACAAAGACAAAGACAAAGAAGAGCUUUAUAACAACUCAAUAUCACAUCUAAUUUGUUCGAUUCUAUCUCCUUUCUAAUGGAUGAUAAGUGUGCUUCAAGAAAUACUUUUGAACAAUACCACUUGGUUCAAUAGGUAAAAUUCAUAUGCUUAACGUAUAUUUUCCAUAAAAUACCGCCACUUAGAGAUGUAGUAGAAGUUCUGAUAAGUAUAAGUGAAAAGACAAGCGGAAAUUUAACUGAUACCAUGCAAAAAGAAUUUGAUGAGAUAAGAAGCCUUCAUGUAGCAUGUGCCCCUACCAGUUAUAUAGAUCACUCACCCUGAAAUGCAUGCAAGUAUUCACAUCGGAACAAAUUUCAUCAAAAAAAGAAAAGACACAAGCUCAGUGUAAUCGAAUGGAUAAAAAAUAAUAUAAGCAAGAACAGAUGUAAAAGGUCACCUCAAAUUAUACAACCCCCACCACAGGCAAUAACAGUACUUAGAAAGGAAGUUUUUAGAAUAAACGAUACUAAAUGAUAAAGCCUACUCGAAUAUUCCAAAAUCAAAAGGUUUAUUUUCGCCUUCUACAUCACAUUUUUAAUCGAAACAGAAUCACUAAUGUUGCUCCAGAUAUUAUAACCCAACAAACUGCAAAGAACUUACUUUAUUGUUAAGCUAUAGCUAAUGAAAGCACAAAGUAAACAAAAAUAAAUAUAUAAAUCAGAAAGAGUAUGAAAACAAAAUAAUAAAUUAAAAAGGAUGAGAAUCAUUUCAACUUCAAAAUAAUAAGAAGAAUGAAGUCAAAGACACAAGGCAUAAAGCAACAAAAAUUAGGACUAUGUUAUAAACUUGCGACAACUCUAUAAUCCCUUCCUAGAAGAUUGCACAAAUAUGCUUUUCUAAUAUCACGAUAAUUAAAAUAACAAUACAAUGACGAUAACACAAAUCUCGUACUGAUGGUUUCCUAAAAUAAUUAUUAAGUGGCUAAAUAAUUUUAAUUUGAUAACAUCCCACCCAUCAUCACCAUAAACUUUAACAUAAAAGGCAAAACAACCAACAUUUAAUAAUCCCAAAUCAAGACAAAACUAAAAUUGAAGAAAACCCAUGUCAUAUCACACUCUUACAGAAAAAACACUUCAGUAAAACAGGAAACACAUAAAAUGACAAACCUUGAUCAAGAGUUCAUUAAGAGUUUUCCAAACCAAAUCCUCAAAAAACCCAAAAGCACGCAUAACAUCGUAUGUAGCAUCCUUUUGCCUGUUACCCACCUGCAAAAUUUCACCCACAAGUUCAUAUUUCACAAAAAUCAGAAAUGGGUAUUCCAAAAAUGCUAAUAAAUCUAGAGAAAAUGGGAUUUGGUUACCUUUGGGCGUCUUCAAUUUUCUUCUUUGAAACAAUAUCUAUUACAAAUCUGGUAAAACAAUUCAGAUGUCUUCAAUUUCCCUCAAUCAAAUGAAAUUAUUACAUUAAGCUUUGUUUGGAAACGUACCUGAGCGAAUAGACUGAGUAGCUAGGGCUUAGAUUUUUUGAUCUUUGGCUUCAUUUCCCUAACCUAUAUAGAAAGAAUCGUGGAUGGUCGGCAAAUCUGAGAUGAAAAUAAACCAAAUAUGACAUGGAAGAUGGACGACAGUGUAAAUUGUUUCAAAAAUCGGAGAGCAAAUUUUGGUUCAAGGAUGAGCAGGUUUUGGAACAAGGAGAGAGGAGAAACCCAAAUUGGUAAAGAAGAAAUAAACCUAGCUAGUCCAUCCUCUAACUGAAACAUCAAAUUUUGGCUAAGGAAUACAGGUGAAACACAAUUGAAACCCAAUUGAUCUCCGUUUCAUGCUUUCCGGAGUACCAAACACGCACACAACUGAAGAGUGCUCUGUUACAAAAAAAAGAGUUU
This 5260-nucleotide long non-coding RNA is filed under the name Panax ginseng (ginseng). Its description in RNAcentral is "long non-coding RNA (PGIN_LNC018900)". The record is from RNAcentral. Lineage: Eukaryota; Viridiplantae; Streptophyta; Magnoliopsida; Apiales; Araliaceae.